GCCCGCGUAGCUCAGGCGGUAGAGCACUCCCUUGGUAAGGGAGAGGUCACUGGUUCGAGUCCAGUCGUGGGCACCA
This 76-nucleotide transfer RNA is filed under the name Wenzhouxiangella marina. Its description in RNAcentral is "tRNA-Thr". It matches the Rfam family "tRNA". From Rfam's summary of the family: Transfer RNA (tRNA) molecules are approximately 80 nucleotides in length. The record is from RNAcentral. RNAcentral also lists the same sequence under 2 other names. Lineage: Bacteria; Pseudomonadati; Pseudomonadota; Gammaproteobacteria; Chromatiales; Wenzhouxiangellaceae.